RNAcentral lists this non-coding RNA (31 nucleotides) under Homo sapiens (human). Lineage: Eukaryota; Metazoa; Chordata; Mammalia; Primates; Hominidae. The record is from RNAcentral.
UGGUAGGGACGCGACCUACAUGGUGUAACCU